This 519-nucleotide long non-coding RNA is filed under the name Rattus norvegicus (Norway rat). Its description in RNAcentral is "long non-coding RNA NONRATT011098". Lineage: Eukaryota; Metazoa; Chordata; Mammalia; Rodentia; Muridae. The record is from RNAcentral.
GAGCAGUGAAGAGUACUGUCUGCAACUCCAGAGGGCUGGGGCUCAGUUCCCAGCACCACAUGGUGGUUCGCAACUGUCGGUAACUCUAGUUCAAAAGAUCCAAUACUGUCUUCUAGCAUCCCACAGAACUAGGCAUAAAUAUUGUGCAGGCAAAACACCCAUAAACAUAAAUAAAAUUAAGAAGGAAGGAAGGGGGAGGGGUGGGUGGAGAGGGAGGGACUGGAGGGAUGGCUCUGUGCAACCUUCUUGCAGAGGAUCCGAAGCCAGUGCCCAGCACCCUGUGCAGGGAGGUUUAUAAUCCCUUGUGAAUCCAGCUCCAGGGAGCUCGAGUCUCUUCUGGCCUCUUCAGGUACUUGCACCCAAAUACAUGUGUGUACAUACACAUACACACACACAAUUAAAACAAUACUUUUAAUGGAAUGACAUCUAUUUACACAUUCUGAAAGUCACUGACUCCUUAUUAUUCAGAAAUAAUGCCAGAUUGUGGUAUUUCUAAAAGUUAAAAAAAAAAAAAAAAAA